This 441-nucleotide ribosomal RNA is filed under the name uncultured bacterium. RNAcentral describes it as "partial 16S ribosomal RNA". It matches the Rfam family "Bacterial small subunit ribosomal RNA", at positions 338 to 795 of the family's 1533-position model. The record is from RNAcentral.
CCUACGGGUGGCAGCAGUGGGGAAUAUUGCACAAUGGGGGCGACCCUGAUCCAGCGACGUCGCGUGAGUGAAGAAGUAUUUAGGGAUGUAAAGCUCUAUUAGCAGGGAAGAAGAAAGACGGUACCUGACUAAGAAGCACCGGCUAACUACGUGCCAGCAGCCGCGGUACUACGUAGGGGGCAAGCGUUAUCCGGGUUUACUGGGUUUAACGGGAGCGUAGACGGCUGUGCAAGUCUGAAGUGAAAGCCCAGGGCUCAACCCUGGGACUGCUUUGGAAACUGUGGAGCUAGAGUGCUGGAGAGGUAAGUGGAAUUCCUGGUGUAGCGGUGAAAUGCGUAGAUAUUAGGAGGAACACCAGUGGCGAAGGCGGCUUACUGGACAGUAACUGACGUUGAGGCUCGAAAGCGUGGGGAGCAAACAGGAUUAGAUACCCCAGUAGUC